Molecule: ribosomal RNA, 238 nt
Filed under: uncultured bacterium
Lineage: Bacteria
Description: partial 16S ribosomal RNA
Rfam family: Bacterial small subunit ribosomal RNA
Source: RNAcentral
UGGCGGACGGGUGAGUAACGCGUGGGUAACCUGCCUCAUACAGGGGGAUAACAGUUAGAAAUGACUGCUAAUAUCGCAUAAGACCACGGAGCCGCAUGGCUCAGUGGGAAAAACUCCGGUGGUAUGAGAUGGACCCGCGUCUGAUUAGGUAGUUGGUGGGGUAACGGCCUACCAAGCCAACGAUCAGUAGCCGACCUGAGAGGGUGACCGGCCACAUUGGGACUGAGACACGGCCCAA